GGAUUGAAAUGGGCGCAGCCUGAUCCAGCAAUGCCGCGUGAGUGAAGAAGGCCUUCGGGUUGUAAAGCUCUUUUGUCAGGGAAGAAACGGUGGGAGCUAAUAUCCCCUGCUAAUGACGGUACCUGAAGAAUAAGCACCGGCUAACUACGUGCCAGCAGCCGCGGUAAUACGUAGGGUGCAAGCGUUAAUCGGAAUUACUGGGCGUAAAGCGUGCGCAGGCGGUUUUGUAAGACUGUCGUGAAAUCCCCGGGCUCAACCUGGGAAUGGCGAUGGUGACUGCAAGGCUAGAGUUUGGCAGAGGGGGGUAGAAUUCCACGUGUAGCAGUGAAAUGCGUAGAUAUGUGGAGGAACACCGAUGGCGAAGGCAGCCCCCUGGGUCAAAACUGACGCUCAUGCACGAAAGCGUGGGGAGCAAACAGGAUUAGAUACCCUGGUAGUCCACGCCCUAAACGAUGUCUACUAGUUGUCGGGUCUUAAUUGACUUGGUAACGCAGCUAACGCGUGAAGUAGACCGCCUGGGGAGUACGGUCGCAAGAUUAAAACUCAAAGAAAUUGACGGA
This 560-nucleotide ribosomal RNA is filed under the name uncultured bacterium. RNAcentral describes it as "bacterial SSU rRNA". It matches the Rfam family "Bacterial small subunit ribosomal RNA", at positions 359 to 917 of the family's 1533-position model. The record is from RNAcentral.